UACGUAGGGACCAAGCGUUGUUCGGAUUUACUGGGCGUAAAGCGCGUGUAGGCUGACCGGAAAGUCGGGCGUGAAAGCCCUGGGCUCAACCCAGGAACUGCACUCGAAACUCCCGGUCUAGAGUGGUGGAGAGGGAAGUGGAAUUCCUGGUGUAGAGGUGAAAUUCGUAGAUAUCAGGAGGAACACCAGUGGCGAAGGCGGCUUCCUGGACACCAACUGACGCUGAGACGCGAAAGCGUGGGGAGCAAACAGG
RNAcentral lists this ribosomal RNA (253 nucleotides) under uncultured bacterium. Its description in RNAcentral is "partial 16S ribosomal RNA". It matches the Rfam family "Bacterial small subunit ribosomal RNA", at positions 524 to 776 of the family's 1533-position model. The record is from RNAcentral.